AACCUGCCUUUAUCAGGGGGAUAGCCUUUCGAAAGGAAGAUUAAUACCCCAUAAUAUAUUGACUGGCAUCAGUUGAUAUUGAAAACUCCGGUGGAUAGAGAUGGGCACGCGCAAGAUUAGAUAGUUGGUAGGGUAACGGCCUACCAAGUCAGUGAUCUUUAGGGGGCCUGAGAGGGUGAUCCCCCACACUGGUACUGAGACACGGACCAGACUCCUACGGGAGGCAGCAGUGAGGAAUAUUGGACAAUGGGUGAGAGCCUGAUCCAGCCAUCCCGCGUGAAGGACGACGGCCCUAUGGGUUGUAAACUUCUUUUGUAUAGGGAUAAACCUUUCCACGUGUGGAAAGCUGAAGGUACUAUACGAAUAAGCACCGGCUAACUCCGUGCCAGCAGCCGCGGUAAUACGGAGGGUGCAAGCGUUAUCCGGAUUUAUUGGGUUUAAAGGGUCCGUAGGCGGAUCUGUAAGUCAGUGGUGAAAUCUCAUAGCUUAACUAUGAAACUGCCAUUGAUACUGCAGGUCUUGAGUAAGGUAGAAGUGGCUGGAAUAAGUAGUGUAGCGGUGAAAUGCAUAGAUAUUACUUAGAACACCAAUUGCGAAGGCAGGUCACUAUGUCUUAACUGACGCUGAUGGACGAAAGCGUGGGGAGCGAACAGGAUUAGAUACCCUGGUAGUCCACGCCGUAAACGAUGCUAACUCGUUUUUGGGUUUUCGGAUUCAGAGAAUUUACGACCGGGAUACGUUUUC
RNAcentral lists this ribosomal RNA (744 nucleotides) under uncultured bacterium. RNAcentral's name for it is "bacterial SSU rRNA". It matches the Rfam family "Bacterial small subunit ribosomal RNA", at positions 123 to 869 of the family's 1533-position model. The record is from RNAcentral.